Molecule: ribosomal RNA, 468 nt
Filed under: uncultured bacterium
Lineage: Bacteria
Description: partial 16S ribosomal RNA
Rfam family: Bacterial small subunit ribosomal RNA
Source: RNAcentral
GACGAACGCUGGCGGCGUGCUUAACACAUGCAAGUCGAACGGAAAGGCCCUGCUUUUGUGGGGUGCUCGAGUGGCGAACGGGUGAGUAACACGUGAGUAACCUGCCCUUGACUUUGGGAUAACUUCAGGAAACUGGGGCUAAUACCGGAUAGGAGCUCCUGCUGCAUGGUGGGGGUUGGAAAGUUUCGGCGGUUGGGGAUGGACUCGCGGCUUAUCAGCUUGUUGGUGGGGUAGUGGCUUACCAAGGCUUUGACGGGUAGCCGGCCUGAGAGGGUGACCGGCCACAUUGGGACUGAGAUACGGCCCAGACUCCUACGGGAGGCAGCAGUGGAGAAUAUUGAACAAUGGGCGGAAGCCUGAUGCAGCAACGCCGCGUGCGGGAUGACGGCCUUCGGGUUGUAAACCGCUUUCGCCUGUGACGAAGCGUGAGUGACGGUAAUGGGUAAAGAAGCACCGGCUAACUACGUG